UCACUUCGUUUGACAUGUAGAUUUGCUAUCUCUCUAAACAGUUAUUUUUGACAUGAAGAAACUUUAGCACCUAUUGAACUGUGCAGAAAUAGAUGUAAUAAUCGGGCGACAUAACUGGAGAAUGGAAUUUGUAAUAUGAACCUGCAAUGUGAAAUAGAGAAUUUGAUGAACAUUAGAAACAACAAUGAACAAACUAAACCAGAAUUGAGAAAUUCAAAAACAGAAAAUGUAAAAUGAAAGAUUUUGAAAUAAAUAAUUUGAUGAAAAGAUGAUGAACAAACUUAACCAUAAUUGAGAGAUACAAAAACAGAAUUGUAAAUUGCAAAAAGAAGAUGAGACAUAAGAUUGAUGAAAGCAUGAAAUCAGAACAUAGGUUCCUCCAUAGUGAAGAAGAAUCAUACCUUUUGCCAACGGUUUCUUUUCCUUCGUUUUCUUUUGACUCAAUCUCAUCUCCUUCGUUUUCUCCCUUCUCCGUGGAUCUAGGUUUUUGAAUUCUUGGGUUUUGAAUGGAGGACGAAGCAAAUAGAGGUUUAGUAUGAAUAUGAAUUUUUGAUCAAGUGAGAAUUAUAUUAGUGACACUUUGUUGAAUCUCAGAGAUCAUGGAAGAACAGUAGAGAUCGUGGGCAGUUGAAGGAUAUUGUUUCUGUCGUAAUUCUUUUUUUU
Molecule: long non-coding RNA, 663 nt
Filed under: Arabidopsis lyrata
Lineage: Eukaryota; Viridiplantae; Streptophyta; Magnoliopsida; Brassicales; Brassicaceae
Description: long non-coding RNA (ALYR_LNC002612)
Source: RNAcentral